RNAcentral lists this transfer RNA (75 nucleotides) under Hoplobatrachus rugulosus (rugose frog). Its description in RNAcentral is "tRNA-Met". It matches the Rfam family "tRNA". Rfam says of the family: Transfer RNA (tRNA) molecules are approximately 80 nucleotides in length. Their secondary structure includes four short double-helical elements and three loops (D, anti-codon, and T loops). Lineage: Eukaryota; Metazoa; Chordata; Amphibia; Anura; Dicroglossidae. The record is from RNAcentral.
UAGUAAGGUAAGCUAACUCUUAAGCUCUUGGGCUCAUGCCCCAACAAUGUUGGUGAAAAUCCUUCCCUUACUACC